Non-coding RNA from Podarcis lilfordi (Lilford's wall lizard), 71 nucleotides. NCBI's taxonomy places the organism in Eukaryota, Metazoa, Chordata, Lepidosauria, Squamata, Lacertidae. The record is from the annotation of a GenBank genome assembly.
GAAAUGGUUUAUAGUGGUGGAACACCAGCUUUAGAUGCAGAAGGUCCUAGGUUCAAUCCCUGUGAGAGACU